RNAcentral lists this transfer RNA (68 nucleotides) under Perkinsus olseni. Its description in RNAcentral is "tRNA-Pro". It matches the Rfam family "tRNA". Rfam says of the family: Transfer RNA (tRNA) molecules are approximately 80 nucleotides in length. The record is from RNAcentral. Lineage: Eukaryota; Perkinsozoa; Perkinsida; Perkinsidae.
CUGUGUGGUCUAGUGGUAUGAUUCUCGCUUAGGGUGCGAGAGGUCCCGAGUUCAAUUCUCGGCACAGC